UUCUAUGGCCAUGCCACCCUGAACAAGCCCAAUCCCACCUGAUCUCGGAAGCUAAGCAGGGUCGGGCCUGGUUAGUACUUGGAUGGGAGACCACCUAGAAAGACCAGGUGCUGUAGGAG
RNAcentral lists this ribosomal RNA (119 nucleotides) under Pteropus alecto (black flying fox). Lineage: Eukaryota; Metazoa; Chordata; Mammalia; Chiroptera; Pteropodidae. The record is from RNAcentral.